RNAcentral lists this ribosomal RNA (245 nucleotides) under Salmonella enterica subsp. enterica serovar Anatum. RNAcentral describes it as "partial 16S ribosomal RNA". It matches the Rfam family "Bacterial small subunit ribosomal RNA", at positions 148 to 421 of the family's 1533-position model. The record is from RNAcentral. Lineage: Bacteria; Pseudomonadati; Pseudomonadota; Gammaproteobacteria; Enterobacterales; Enterobacteriaceae.
GCCCGGAAACGUCAUAAUGUCCGCCGGUUAAUUGUCCGGCAUCGGUUUGCAGAGCGCGGACGGCAUCUGAAAGUAAAGUGAGAUACUCUUGCUCUUCAGGCGCUUUAGUCAGCAUAAAAGAGGAUGACCAGCCACACUGGAACUGAGACACGGUCCAGACUCCUACGGGAGGCAGCAGUGGGGAAUAUUGCACAAUGGGCGCAAGCCUGAUGCAGCCAUGCCGCGUGUAUGAAGAAGGCCUUCGG